ACGAAACGCACAUAUAGAUUUAUACCUACAUAGCUAGCUAUAGUAAACAGAUGUAUAGCAUAUAUGUUAGUAUCUGUAAGUAGCUAUAGAUUAAGUUCAGUUACCUCAUUACCGCGGUCGCAUUAACUUCUCAUGUACUUAGCCUAGCCAAAUUAAAUAAUUAUUUGAAUACAGUCCACUUAAAACGAAUUUAUAUGUGAGUUUAAUUUACCAGCCCCUCACAUAAUGGUCCUUCGAGCCGUUAAUAAAGGGCUGGCUAAGGACGUUUAAAAGUGGUGCCGUCGUGUGUGUAACUCAACGUUUAAACCGCCAUAUUGGGACAUUUAAGUUAACGCGUAGUUAACGUGUGCUUUAACCCGUUGACUUCUUCGAGUUGCGUCAAAGCGUGUGUCGUGUCAUCGCGUCGUGUGCUGUUUCUAUAAAACGGCUGUCUUCGUGGACGUUGGUCAGGAGGACUGUUACCACUUCUAUAAGGUGCUGCAGAACUCUCAGGCUGUUGGUGCGUGCUACUGCUAUACAGUGCUUCAUCUAUACGGACCUUCACAGUCUCUGUCCCGGGACAUUGGUGUUGCCGGUGCUAUUCGCUGGAACAUUAAGUGCGACAAGGACGUUUAUAUAGGUUACCUAAGUAUAACCUACCGAAGAACUGUGGUCGGAAUUAUAAAUCAAUCGCGCGUAGUGUUUGAUUUCGCAUGCUCAAUUAGCAUUGUGGACAUUGUGAAGUGCACCUAGUGUAGCACAUUCAUCUAUAUAAUCAUUAAAUUAAAAUACCAAAAGUACAAGGCGUUGCACAUAAAUACGUAUUAUAGCGGUUGGCGUUGACGCAGUUUCCGUCUCCUGCUGGUCGUGAGGCUUCGGAAUCGUUCGUUCAUGCACUUCGUGUUGCUUCGUGGACACUCGCCGCGCCGCAUCGUAGUCUCUCAUUGGCUAGCGGAACCAACUUCAAUACGUGUUUCCGAGUUUCGUCUGGCUACCUAGUUAUUAUUCCGAGUUUCGUGCAAGUUUCGUGUGCCAUCCAUUGCUCAGUGGUGCCAUCUGCACCAUAGACUAGAAUAAGCUGCUGCCGAAUCUGCGCCAUUUGUAUUUUAUUUUGUAACCUCGUUGUGUCGUGGGCGCAACAAGUAUUUUUUUGUAAAGUGAUUCGUGAUUAAUCACUACAAUUAUUACUAUUUAAUAGUUUUAUUAGUAAAAAGUUCAUAAUAGAACAAGACUUAAAAAGGCUGAUAGCUGCGAGAGGCCAGUUAAAAGGCACAAUUACAAGAUUGUAUAAUUUCAUUAGUAAUGAAACCGAGUUUAAUAAAGAUUCACAAAAUUGCGAGGAUUUCGAGCGCAUCGAAAAUCAAUACUUUGCAAUAAUGGCUGCCAUUAAUGAAAAAUUGACUCCCAAAACAAAUUGUGAGGUUGGUAAACCAUCUACCAGCAGCAGCAACCUGACUAAGUUGCCCAGGAUAGAAAUACCGAGGUUCAGCGGACAGAGCAACGUGCAACCAUUCUUGAGACCGUGGCUGAGGCUGGCCAUAGCCAUGCUCACCCUACCCGAGUAGUGAACAAGAGCCACGGAGCGAGCCUCGUGACCACCACAGGAAGUACCACCAGCUCCAGCACAAGAUGCUGCGACUUCUGUAAGUCUAAAUAUCACAAGUUGUAUCAAUGUCAAAAGUUUCAAUUAGCUUUGCCAACUGAACGUGUGCUGUUUAUUCAAAAUAAUAAGUUGUGUUCACUUUGCUUAAAUCAGCAUAACAAUAGAAAGUGUUUCCUUGCAUUCAAGUGUAGCAUAUGUAAGGAGCGUCAUAAUACGUUAUUACACGUAGAUAAUGUACCAGAAAUACCUAAGCAGGUAUCGGUAUCAAUGGGCCAAUAUGGCAAUAUAUUACUACCAACUAUUAAGGUAGGUUUAGUAGAUAAGCUUGGAAAUACGAUUUAUGCCAAGGCUUUAUGUGACUCAGGUAGUCAAAUAUCAUUCAUUUCAUCAGAUUUAGCUGAUCAAAUUAGUUGUGAAUUAAAAGAUGAGCAAACUAUAAUUAGUGGCAUAUGUCAAGGGAAAA
Long non-coding RNA from Plutella xylostella (diamondback moth), 2045 nucleotides. RefSeq lists it as uncharacterized. The record is from RefSeq and is a predicted model, not a curated record. Lineage: Eukaryota; Metazoa; Arthropoda; Insecta; Lepidoptera; Plutellidae.